This 2874-nucleotide ribosomal RNA is filed under the name Triticum aestivum (bread wheat). Its description in RNAcentral is "partial small subunit ribosomal RNA". The record is from RNAcentral. Lineage: Eukaryota; Viridiplantae; Streptophyta; Magnoliopsida; Poales; Poaceae.
AUGGCGGCGGCGGCGGCCGAAGGUCUGGAGCGGAUCAAGAACGAGGCCGUCGACUUGGAGAACAUCCCUGUGGAGGAGGUGUUCGAGAACCUCCAGUGCAGCCCGGCAGGCCUCACCUCCAAGGAUGGCCAGGACCGCAUCGCCGUCUUCGGCCCCAACAAACUCGAAGAGAAAAAGGAGAGCGAGAUCCUCAAAUUCCUGGGGUUCAUGUGGAACCCGCUGUCGUGGGUGAUGGAGGUGGCGGCCAUCAUGGCCAUCGCGCUGGCCAACGGCGGCGGCAGGCCACCGGACUGGCAGGACUUCGUCGGCAUCAUCGCGCUGCUCCUGCUCAACUCAACCAUCUCUUACAUCGAGGAGAGCAACGCCGGCAGCUCGGCCAAGGCGCUCAUGGCCAACCUCGCCCCCAAGACCAAGGUGCUCCGCGACGGCAGGUGGAGCGAGCAGGACGCCUCCAUCCUCGUGCCCGGCGACAUCAUCAGCAUCAAGCUCGGCGACAUUGUCCCGGCCGACGCGCGCCUCCUGCUCGAGGGAGACCCGCUCAAGAUCGACCAGUCGGCGCUCACGGGCGAGUCGCUGCCCGUCACCAAGAACCCCGGCGACAGCGUCUACUCGGGCUCCACGUGCAAGCAGGGCGAGAUCGAGGCCGUCGUCAUCGCCACCGGCGUGCACACCUUCUUCGGCAAGGCGGCGCACCUCGUCGACAGCACCAACCAGGUCGGCCACUUCCAGAAGGUGCUCCGCGCCAUCGGCAACUUCUGCAUCGGCGCCAUCGCCAUCGGCAUGAUCGUCGAGAUCAUCGUCAUGUACUUCAUCCAGCACCGCCGGUACCGCGACGGCAUCGACAACCUUCUCGUGCUCCUCAUCGGCGGCAUCCCGAUCGCGAUGCCCACUGUGCUGUCGGUCACCAUGGCUAUCGGCUCCCACCGGCUGUCGAAGCAGGGCGCCAUCACUAAGCGCAUGACGGCCAUCGAGGAGAUGGCCGGCAUGGACGUGCUCUGCAGCGACAAGACGGGCACGCUCACCCUCAACAAGCUCAGCGUCGACCGCAACCUCAUCGAGGUGUUCGCCGUUGGCGUCGCCAAGGACGAGGUCUUGCUUUUCGCCGCCAUGGCAUCCAGAGUGGAGAACCAGGAUGCCAUCGACGCUGCCAUGGUCGGCAUGCUCGCCGACCCAAAGGAGGCCAGGGCUGGCAUCCUGGAGAUGCACUUCCUCCCCUUCAACCCCGUCGACAAGCGAACCGCGCUCACCUACCAAGACGUCGCCGACGGCACGUGGCACCGUGUCAGCAAGGGUGCUCCCGAGCAGAUCUUGGAACUGUGCAACUGCAGAGACGAUGUCAAGAACAAGGCGCACGCCAUCAUCGACAAGUACGCCGAGCGCGGCCUCCGGUCCCUCGCGGUAGCCAGGCAGGAGGUGCCGGAGAAGAGCAAGGACAGCUCCGGGGGGCCAUGGGAGUUCGUCGGCCUUCUGCCGCUCCUCGACCCGCCCAGGCACGACAGCGCCGAGACGAUCAAGCAGGCGCUCAAUCUCGGCGUCAACGUCAAGAUGAUCACCGGCGACCAGCUGGCCAUCGCCAAGGAGACGGGCAGGAGGCUCGGCAUGGGCACCAACAUGUACCCCUCAUCCGCCCUUCUCGGCCAGAGCGUCGACGAGUCCAUCGUGUCGCUCCCCGUUGACGAGCUCAUCGAGAAGGCCGAUGGGUUCGCCGGUGUUUUCCCCGAGCACAAGUACGAGAUCGUCAAGAAGCUGCAGCAGAUGAAGCACAUCUGCGGGAUGACCGGCGAUGGCGUGAACGACGCGCCAGCUCUGAAGAAGGCCGACAUUGGCAUUGCGGUGGCCGACGCCACCGACGCCGCCAGGAGCGCAUCGGACAUCGUGCUCACCGAACCGGGGCUCAGCGUCAUCAUCAGCGCCGUGCUGACUAGCCGUGCCAUCUUCCAGAGGAUGAAGAACUACACCAUUUACGCGGUGUCCAUCACCAUCCGUAUAGUGCUAGGGUUUAUGCUGAUCGCGCUGAUUUGGAAGUUCGAUUUCUCGCCGUUUAUGAUCCUGGUCAUCGCCAUUCUCAACGACGGCACAAUCAUGACCAUCUCCAAGGACAGAGUGAAGCCAUCCCCACACCCAGAUAGCUGGAAGCUGCCGGAGAUCUUCAUCACCGGCAUCGUCUACGGCGCCUACCUUGCCGUGACGACCGUGGUCUUCUUCUUCGCCAUGACCAGCACCGACUUCUUCAGCGAGAAGUUCCACGUGCAUUCCCUAAGGGGCAACAAGGAUGCGAUGAUGUCCGCCCUCUACCUUCAAGUGAGCAUCAUCAGCCAGGCCCUCAUCUUCGUCACCCGGUCGCGCCGCUGGUGCUUCCAGGAGCGCCCGGGGCUCUGGCUCUGCUUCGCCUUCGUCGUCGCGCAGAUCAUCGCCACCGUCAUCGCCGUGUACUGCAACUUGCCGUUUGCGCACAUCAGAGGCAUCGGCUGGGGCUGGGCCGGCGUGAUCUGGCUCUACAGCAUCAUCACCUUCAUCCCCUUGGACCUCUUCAAGUUCGCCAUCGGCUACGCGCUCAGCGGCAAGGCAUGGGACACCCUCUUCGAGAACAAGAUCGCCUUCACGAACAAGAAGGACUACGGGAAGGAGAAGCGGGAGCUGCAGUGGGCGACGGCGCAGCGGACACUGCACGGCCUGCCGACGGCGGACCCAGACAGCACGCCGCAGGAGAGGAGCAACUACGGCGAGCUCUCGGAGAUAGCCGAGCAGGCCAAGCGCCGGGCGGAGAUGGCCAGGCUGCGCGAGCUCAGCACGCUCAAGGGAAGGGUGGAGUCUGCGGUGAGGCUCAAGGGCCUCGACAUGGAGACCGUCGACAACCACCACUACACUGUAUGA